CCUACGGGGGGCAGCAGUGAGGAAUAUUGGUCAAUGGGAGAGAUCCUGAACCAGCCAAGCCGCGUGAGGGAAGACGGCCCUAUGGGUUGUAAACCUCUUUUGUCGGAGAACAAAACCCGGGACGAGUCCCGGACUGCGUGUAUCCGAAGAAAAAGCAUCGGCUAACUCCGUGCCAGCAGCCGCGGUAAUACGGAGGAUGCGAGCGUUAAUCGGAAUUACUGGGCGUAAAGGGUGCGCAGGCGGUUGAGUAAGACAGAUGUGAAAUCCCCGAGCUUAACUCGGGAAUGGCAUAUGUGGCUGCUCGA
This 305-nucleotide ribosomal RNA is filed under the name uncultured bacterium. RNAcentral describes it as "bacterial SSU rRNA". It matches the Rfam family "Bacterial small subunit ribosomal RNA", at positions 338 to 640 of the family's 1533-position model. The record is from RNAcentral.